Molecule: ribosomal RNA, 1196 nt
Filed under: Staphylococcus chromogenes
Lineage: Bacteria; Bacillati; Bacillota; Bacilli; Caryophanales; Staphylococcaceae
Description: bacterial SSU rRNA
Rfam family: Bacterial small subunit ribosomal RNA
Source: RNAcentral
UACGUAGCCGACCUGAGAGGGUGAUCGGCCACACUGGAACUGAGACACGGUCCAGACUCCUACGGGAGGCAGCAGUAGGGAAUCUUCCGCAAUGGGCGAAAGCCUGACGGAGCAACGCCGCGUGAGUGAUGAAGGUCUUCGGAUCGUAAAGCUCUGUUGUUAGGGAAGAACAAAUGUGUAAGUAACUGUGCACAUCUUGACGGUACCUAACCAGAAAGCCACGGCUAACUACGUGCCAGCAGCCGCGGUAAUACGUAGGUGGCAAGCGUUAUCCGGAAUUAUUGGGCGUAAAGCGCGCGUAGGCGGUUUUUUAAGUCUGAUGUGAAAGCCCACGGCUCAACCGUGGAGGGUCAUUGGAAACUGGAAAACUUGAGUGCAGAAGAGGAAAGUGGAAUUCCAUGUGUAGCGGUGAAAUGCGCAGAGAUAUGGAGGAACACCAGUGGCGAAGGCGGCUUUCUGGUCUGUAACUGACGCUGAUGUGCGAAAGCGUGGGGAUCAAACAGGAUUAGAUACCCUGGUAGUCCACGCCGUAAACGAUGAGUGCUAAGUGUUAGGGGGUUUCCGCCCCUUAGUGCUGCAGCUAACGCAUUAAGCACUCCGCCUGGGGAGUACGGUCGCAAGACUGAAACUCAAAGGAAUUGACGGGGACCCGCACAAGCGGUGGAGCAUGUGGUUUAAUUCGAAGCAACGCGAAGAACCUUACCAAAUCUUGACAUCUUUUGACCACUCUAGAGAUAGAGUUUUCCUCUUCGGAGGACAAAAUGACAGGUGGUGCAUGGUUGUCGUCAGCUCGUGUCGUGAGAUGUUGGGUUAAGUCCCGCAACGAGCGCAACCCUUGAGCUUAGUUGCCAUCAUUAAGUUGGGCACUCUAAGUUGACUGCCGGUGACAAACCGGAGGAAGGUGGGGAUGACGUCAAAUCAUCAUGCCCCUUAUGAUUUGGGCUACACACGUGCUACAAUGGACAAUACAAAGGGCAGCGAAACCGCGAGGUCAAGCAAAUCCCAUAAAGUUGUUCUCAGUUCGGAUUGUAGUCUGCAACUCGACUACAUGAAGCUGGAAUCGCUAGUAAUCGUAGAUCAGCAUGCUACGGUGAAUACGUUCCCGGGUCUUGUACACACCGCCCGUCACACCACGAGAGUUUGUAACACCCGAAGCCGGUGGAGUAACCAUUUGGAGCUAGCCGUCGAAGGGUGAG